AUCCGACUGAUGAGUCCCGAAUAGGACGAAACGCAUGUUCAGGAU
RNAcentral lists this non-coding RNA (45 nucleotides) under Schistosoma curassoni. The record is from RNAcentral. Lineage: Eukaryota; Metazoa; Platyhelminthes; Trematoda; Strigeidida; Schistosomatidae.